GACAGAGGCCUCAAGCGUUAGGCGGAAUCACUGGGCUUAAAGCGUGUGUAGGCGGAUCGUUAAGUGUCUUGUGAAAUCCCACGGCUCACCCGUGGAACGGCUGGGCAUACUGGCGAUCUUGGGCCAACUAGGGGCAACUGGAACAAGCGGUGGAGCGGUGAAAUGCGUAGAUAUCGCUUGGAACGCCAAAGGUGAAAACAGGUUGCUGGGGUUGUGCCGACGCUGAGACACGAAAGCCAGGGGAGCAAACGGGG
RNAcentral lists this ribosomal RNA (254 nucleotides) under uncultured bacterium. RNAcentral's name for it is "partial 16S ribosomal RNA". It matches the Rfam family "Bacterial small subunit ribosomal RNA", at positions 524 to 777 of the family's 1533-position model. The record is from RNAcentral.